UAGAGUGGUGAUGUAGGCUUUUAAACAGCUAAUUUUCAGCUGAAGGUAUAAUUCAGUUUACCUGAAAUGGUAACCAAAGACAUUGCUUUCAGCUUCAAGGAUGUUUGCUGGCUAACACUGCCCCUGAUGGGAAGUAGUUUAAUUUGUCUCUUAGAGACCUGUUCGCUGUCAUUCAGCAUGGUUAGGAUUGUAAAGAGUGUACAUAUACAUUUUGUUUUGGUUAUCACACACUGUCGUGAUUUUCAGUGUCAUUUUAGCUGAAAGCAGUGGGUUUUUCAUGUGGUCCAGCAGGACUUCCUGUCAGCAGCUACUCAGGGAGGCCCGGGCAUCUGUCAAACCUGUUCCUCCAGUGUGGGCUUCAUGGAGCUGAGCACAGGAACCCCGCACAGCUGGCCUCAGAGGAGGUGACCAGUGCUUGAUAUCAACAUCUGGAGUUGUCAGGUCUCUGGAUUUUCAGGAGCAGGGCCGAGGCCUGUGCAGCUGGGAAGUAGCUGGGCUCAACUUGGACCACAGAACUCCAGACAGCAAAGCAGAGUCCUAUGCAGGGCCAUGUAGCCUUCCUGCCCGCACCCCGCCAGCCGAAUCAUAUCACAUUGGCACCUGACACAUUCCACCUGGCCAGAAGUUGACACCUAAAGCUGCCCGUGAAAUCAUAUUUACAGAAUUGUGCAAGGAGAUUAAAUAUUUUUUUCCA
Non-coding RNA from Heterocephalus glaber (naked mole-rat), 694 nucleotides. The record is from RefSeq and is a predicted model, not a curated record. Lineage: Eukaryota; Metazoa; Chordata; Mammalia; Rodentia; Bathyergidae.